GUGGGGAAUAUUGGACAAUGGGGGCAACCCUGAUCCAGCAACGCCGCGUGGAGGAUGAAGGCCUUCGGGUUGUAAACUCCUGUCGGGAGGGGCGAACGGUUCGCGGUGAACAAUCGCGAGCUCUGACGGUACCUCCGGAGGAAGCCCCGGCUAACUCUGUGCCAGCAGCCGCGGUAAUACAGAGGGGGCAAGCGUUAUUCGGAAUCAUUGGGCGUAAAGGGCGCGUAGGCGGCUUGGCAAGUCCAAGGUGAAAUCCCUCGGCUCAACCGAGGAACUGCCUUGGAAACUGCCAGGCUCGAGGCCGGGAGAGGGUAGUGGAAUUCCCAGUGUAGCGGUGAAAUGCGUAGAUAUUGGGAGGAACACCGGUGGCGAAGGCGGCUACCUGGACCGGUUCUGACGCUGAGGCGCGAAAGCGUGGGGAGCAAACAGGAUUAGAUACCCCGGUAGUCC
Molecule: ribosomal RNA, 450 nt
Filed under: uncultured bacterium
Lineage: Bacteria
Description: bacterial SSU rRNA
Rfam family: Bacterial small subunit ribosomal RNA
Source: RNAcentral